GCGAACACCUCAGUUAUAAAUCUGCUAUGGACAGACAACUACAUUAUUUCUAUUACAAGAAGCUACACGUUACACACUUCAUUUUUAAAUUGAUAUCAUACGCCAAACAAAAUAAUCUAUCAUGAGUAUGUUAUUUUUCUAAAGUAAUUGAUGUGAACGAUUUGUGUUUAGUGCUUUAAGUUUAACUAAUUGGGUCACGUUAAGACAACAAUUUCUAAGCUCAAUUAAGAAAUGGAUUCCACGACCGCUAACAUUAUAUUAUGGAAUGGAGAAUGCUGAUUCAGUAGAACCACUCAUUUCAUCCGCACAUCUAACAUUUGAAUUUAAAUACGUUAUUCAUGUGAUAGCACUAAAUUCCUUAGAAAGGGAAUAUAUAAAUGCUUGGGAAAUAUUUGUACAUCUCAUGCGUUACAUAAAGGAUCUAACAAUUAUACUAGUAGGACCAAAUUUUGAGCAGGAUCAUUAUGACAUGGAACUUUGUUAUUACUGCAAGAACAGAUGUAUAACGCUUCAUGUUGAAAUUUAUAAUACAUUUUAUAUCUUGAAGACCAUGGAGGGAUUUGAAGACUGGUACUGUAUAUUUUCGUAAUGAUUUUGUAACUUUCUAUCGUAACACAAUUACUUUAUGAAGAACAUACUAAAUGGUUCAGAGCAUUUGUAUAAGAUUUUAGCAUAUAUAAUAUAAAAUAUAUGUUGUUUAUACAAUCGAAUUAUGAAUAUUUUUAUUAAAAGGCACUUUUCAUUGUACUUGCGAUGUUUCUAUUUAAUAGUCAUUCAUAAUAAUAAACAAAUAUAUUAGAUACAUAGAAACUUUUUAAAAUAGAACGUUUAAUUUGAGUAAGAAAGUAACAGCUUGAAAAUAUGAUUGUAAAAAUAGGACGCAAAUAUUACAGUAAAAAAUUCAUAUUUGGAUUAUUAAAAAUUGUCUUGUAACGUGUUUAAAUGUAGUUUAUAUUCUUGCACAUUUCAUUUGCGUAAUAAAUAGGGGAAGUUAAAAUUUAUGAGCGUUGCAACACGAUCACACAAUGCUUUAACAGUACAUGCUAUUUUUAAUUAAGAAUCAAUAUUCUGAUGUGGAAAUAUCAGAGCAAAAAUGCUUUAUGAAUUGUAAAGAAAAAAUGUUGGCUUACCAUAAAUUAAAUUUAAAAAGCCUAAUAAAUUUUACAUUCACCAUUAGUAUGCGAUUCAUCAUAAUAGAUAGAUAAUAUUUAGUGGAAUAUAGUUUAUUAUCUCCUAUAAUUAAACAAGUACAAAGAAAAGUAUAAAGUAAAUACAAAAAUAUGUUAUAUGGAAAAUUGAAUAUAAUCGCAAAUAAUAACCUCUUUCGACAUUGUAUUGGUUAUUACAGUUUCGUUAUUACUCUGAGCUGUAGAAUAAUAAAAUUUUAGAUUUAGUUGUAAUACAUCUUUUACUUAGCUUGUAUAAAAGUUUCCUAUAAUGAUAUCUAUAUAAAUUUAACUCAGAUAAGUUUUAGUAUAACAUAAUUCAAUAUUUAACACAAUACAAAUUUUUCAUAUAGUAUUGCGCCUUAGUUAGAAUACGUAUAUAAUUAGGUUUGUACGCAUAUUCAUCAGCAAAACAUACAUAAAAUAAAAAUAAUUCAACUCUUACUUUCUCAAUGUAUUAACAAUAGUUUCAAAACUUGAAACUUUCUUCGUUGUGCCUUUUUCUUAUUUUCAUAUGAAAAAAUAUAAAUAUAUCAUAUGAGCUUAUUUGCGACAUUCUAUUUAGUGUAAUGGUUAUAUAUAUUUGUGGAGUAUUACAUCGUCAAAUACAAUACCGUUUGUGUAAUGAUCGUGGCAGAUAAAAAAACUUGUACCACUUUAGUAUUGUGUAAUCGUUUAUCACAGAUCUGAAAAGUGUAUAGGAACAUUUGUUAAGCAGUUAUGUUUCUAUGUUCAAUUCAAAUGUUAUCAAAUACUUUAUUCAAUUCAAAAGUUUGCACUUAAAUGAAUUAUUCACAUGGUAGCACUAAAUGCCUUAGAAAAGGAAUAUUUAAAUGCUUGAGAAAUCCUCUUACAUCUCUCAUGUCAUAUAAAGGACUUUAUAAUUAUAUUAGUAGUACCAAAUUUUGAGCAGGAUUAUUAUGAUAUAGAGAUUUGUGCUAAAUGCAAUUGAAAGAAUUCAGUGAUUCAUGUUGAAAUUUAUAAUAUAUUUUACCAUAUAUAUGUGACCGAUCCGUCAUUUAAACAACCACAUAUAAAUAUGGAAUUUCAAGCAGAUUUUAAUAAUAAGCGGACAUGUUCGCGGAGCAUAUUUUUAUCAUGGAUUAGACAUUGCCCGUUGAUUUUAAAUUGCAUAUUGGCACAAAAACCAUUUAUUUUUAAAUUGAUAAUACACAUUAAUUAUUGAUUAAAUAAAAUUUAUGAGAGCUCUAGAAUGAUAGAAAUUGAUAAGUCAAACAUCUAUGGUAAUUAUAGUGGUUUCGCUGGAUAAACGCUGAAAAUUUUAUGUUGUGCAAUCUGUGAAAACUUAUAUUAUAUGUUACUCUAGAGAUAUACACAGCGUGCGACAUCUUCCCCGACAAAUGCAGAUUUUUGCGGAUAUAUUAAACAAUUUUUAACAGAGAUAAGUUCAAUUGAUUGGAUCAAGACUACGAUCUCUGAGUGCAAAAGAAAAACAAAUGCUACGUAAACUACAGACGUACGAGAAACAGAUGAUUAUUUUCGCUAACUUUUAUGCGUUGAACAAAUGUAGGAAUUUCGAAACAACCAUUUAUCAGCAAAGAGAUGAUUUUAUAUUUCAACUUAAAUAUCGUGUAUCUCAGGUUUCUGUAUCGUGUAUCUCAGGCAAAAGUUACUAAUUCAUCCGGUACAUACAUUUGUGGAGUAUAUGUAUACAGGGUGUCCCACAAUUGGUAUAACACCCGUUAAACGUAGGUAAGAGGUGAA
Odontomachus brunneus is the source of this 2891-nucleotide RNA transcript. RefSeq lists it as uncharacterized. NCBI's taxonomy places the organism in Eukaryota, Metazoa, Arthropoda, Insecta, Hymenoptera, Formicidae. The record is from RefSeq and is a predicted model, not a curated record. The transcript is spliced from 3 exons.